AAGUCGUAACAAGGUUUCCGUAGGUGAACCUGCGGAAGGAUCAUUAUAAAAUUUUCAUAUAUUAUUUAUUUAAUAUAUAUAUAAAAUUAUAUUCAAAACCCACACUCUUAUAACCAAAAAAAAAAAAUAUUAUAUUUAUAAUAUAUAAAUAAAACAACUUUCAACAACGGAUCUCUUGGCUCUC
The sequence is an unclassified non-coding RNA, 184 nucleotides long. The stretch from base 1 to 46 matches the Rfam family "Eukaryotic small subunit ribosomal RNA", at positions 1786 to 1831 of the family's 1831-position model.